RNAcentral lists this ribosomal RNA (440 nucleotides) under uncultured bacterium. RNAcentral describes it as "bacterial SSU rRNA". It matches the Rfam family "Bacterial small subunit ribosomal RNA", at positions 954 to 1392 of the family's 1533-position model. The record is from RNAcentral.
GCUAAACGCGAAGAACCUUACCUGGCCUUGACAUGUCCGGAAUUCUGCAGAGAUGCGGAAGUGCCUUCGGGAAUCGGAACACAGGUGCUGCAUGGCUGUCGUCAGCUCGUGUCGUGAGAUGUUGGGUUAAGUCCCGCAACGAGCGCAACCCUUGUCCUUAGUUGCCAGCGAGUAAUGUCGGGAACUCUAAGGAGACUGCCGGUGACAAACCGGAGGAAGGUGGGGAUGACGUCAAGUCCUCAUGGCCCUUACGGCCAGGGCUACACACGUACUACAAUGGUCGGUACAGAGGGUUGCCAAACCGCAAGGUGGAGCCAAUCCCAGAAAGCCGAUCCCAGUCCGGAUCGGAGUCUGCAACUCGACUCCGUGAAGUCGGAAUCGCUAGUGAUCGCAGAUCAGCAUUGCUGCGGUGAAUACGUUCCCGGGUCUUGUACACACCG